GCCGGAGAGUAGAAUGGCUUCUAGAGCCGUCUCAUAAGCGGUUAAUGUGGGUUCAAUUCCCACCUCCGGCA
This 71-nucleotide transfer RNA is filed under the name Ignavibacteria bacterium. RNAcentral's name for it is "tRNA-OTHER". It matches the Rfam family "tRNA". From Rfam's summary of the family: Transfer RNA (tRNA) molecules are approximately 80 nucleotides in length. Lineage: Bacteria; Pseudomonadati; Ignavibacteriota; Ignavibacteria. The record is from RNAcentral.